Molecule: ribosomal RNA, 253 nt
Filed under: uncultured bacterium
Lineage: Bacteria
Description: partial 16S ribosomal RNA
Rfam family: Bacterial small subunit ribosomal RNA
Source: RNAcentral
UACGUAGGUGGCGAGCGUUGUCCGGAUUUACUGGGCGUAAAGGGAGCGUAGGCGGACUUUUAAGUGAGAUGUGAAAUACUCGGGCUCAACUUGAGUGCUGCAUUUCAAACUGGAAGUCUAGAGUGCAGGAGAGGAGGAUGGAAUUCCUAGUGUAGCGGUGAAAUGCGUAGAGAUUAGGAAGAACACCAGUGGCGAAGGCGAUUCUCUGGACUGUAACUGACGCUGAGGCUCGAAAGCGUGGGGAGCAAAUAGG